Long non-coding RNA from Bubalus bubalis (water buffalo), 2874 nucleotides. RefSeq lists it as uncharacterized. The transcript has 3 exons. NCBI's taxonomy places the organism in Eukaryota, Metazoa, Chordata, Mammalia, Artiodactyla, Bovidae. The record is from RefSeq and is a predicted model, not a curated record.
UGUUUCAAGAAAGAGUGAACUUGAUUUGUCUGCAUCUACUAAAUCCAGCUGUGACAAAAUUUUAUUUGUGAGGUGCCAGGAGACAUUAUCAUCAUCAUCACCAUCAUUAUUGCUUCAUGCUUCAAUAUUGACUCCAGGCUCUUCCCAAGGAGAGUCUCUACUCCACAGGAUGGCUCAGUCUUUCUGUGAUUUUCUUUCCUGAACCUAAAUGUGAAGAGUGAGGAGAAAAGACAACUAAAAGCAGGAAACAGGAGACUAAACCCUCAGAAAGGUAAGUACUACCAAGCAAGGUAGGUAGGAGAUGUCUGAAGACUGUCUUCAGCAUAUUCAACACACACUCCCUGUGCAAGCCCUCAACUAGGAUGAUACUGCCAGUUCUGCACUGAAAAAUGUUCAGGUUUCUAAAGCGUAAGCUGUGGUGUUGCAAAGCUGAGCACUUCACCCCUAAAGCUAAGCGGGUGAUUGAUGGAAGUGGAACUUUUCACCGUGGGUGCCUUCAGCACCCCCAUCCCCACCCCACCCCAACCUCCUACACCUCCCCCUAGGGGAAACAUCUGAGCUGAGGGUGGAGCCUGCUCCCCUGGGAAGUUUGGGAGUGGCAUUCAGAGAAGGCAGCCUCCUGCCAGGUUGGAGGUCUGAAGGAAUGUGGAAGGUCACUUCUCUGCUGACCUCCUCCCCUCUCCACCCCCAAUGACUGUUUCUGUUGGCCUCCUCCAAGAUCUGGGCAUGUUCUAGCUUUCAGACAGCUGCUGGAGUCUCCUGUAGCUCUGAUCUGGGUGAUGCAGAAUGCCAGGGAGCGUGUGUGUGGAUAGCAAGGAAGAGCACAGGCUAGGGAGCUCCUAGGGAGCAACAGUAAUUUCCAAUAUAGCCACUAUCAUAUCCCCUCCACCCUCAAAUAUGUCUCUCCCCACAUUCACACUAAGAGAAGUCAACAUCAGAGAGUCGGGUCAGGCUCAGUGAGGUUCUUCAGAAUUCCCAAGAAUCUGCCAUCGCAUCUUGGGAGCUAUUCAAGAACUUCCAUAGGUGACUUCUGGGGACCUUCCUCCAAACAGAGAUCCACAUUCUAGGCAAAGUAACUGGCAUUGAAAUCAAACAGAUCUACCAAUGCGACCUGCCAUGCAGCAACUUUGGGGCCUCAGUUUUCUCAUCAAUAAAUUAGGGAUGAUCAUAUCAUUUCUUUUUAAAAAAUUAUUAAUUUAGUUAUUUUUGGUUGCACUGGGUCUUCAUUGCUGUGAGUAAGCUUUCUCUAGUUGCGGUGAGGGACUACUCCUCAUUGCAGUCUUCCACUUCUUUUGCUGCAGAGCCCACGCUCUAGGGCACUCAGACUCAGUAAUUGUGGUACACAGGCUUAGUUGCUCCACAACAUGUGGAAUCCUCCCAAAUCAGGGACUGAACCCAUGUCCCUUACACUGACAGGUAUAUUCUUAUCCACUGUACCUCCAGAGAAGUCCUAUCACCUCCUUUUAAUGGUUGGAUUGAGAAUGACAGAGGAUAGCAUAUGUCAAGUGCCUCGUACUGUCCCUGGCUCAUGACAGAGCCUCAGUAGGUAUUAAUCUUCCCCAGUCACUGUCAUUUCACAUACUUUCAGUAGGAGCAUGCAAGACCACUCCCUCUAUCCUGUAAAUUUUCCCCAGCGCCCCUUACAUAAAAGUCACAGUGAAUUUUGGUGACAACUGGUUUGCUCAACAAAAGACAGUUCUACUCAAAUUUGACUUAAGAAAGAUCUGUGGAGCACAAGCUAUCUCUGUGUAGGUCCUGGGAGGUAGAGAUGAUUUCUGGUUGCCUAUUGCCAAAACCACCCUCAAAAUGUAGUGUUUUAAAACAACAAUGUCUUACUGACCUUGUGGGUCUGUGGGUUGACCCGGCUUGUUUUCAUGCAAAGACAGUUAGUGCUGAGUCAUUGGAAGGCCUGCCUGGGCUGGGUGUCCAAGACCACUUAUUCAUUGAUUUAUCUGAUGUCUCAGUGCUUCUCCCCAUGACACCUAUCUCCAGGAGAUCAGCCAGGAUUUCUUAACUUGGUGGCUUAAGGCUCCAAGAGAAAGGAAGUAGAAACUGCCAGUGAUCUUAAAGCCUGAGCCUAGAUACGACUGAAGUGACUUAGCAGCAGCAGCAGCAGGAAGGACCCCGGUUGUCUUCUGCCUGAUUCUAAUGACAAAGCAACUACAUGUCAGCCCAGAUUCAAGGAAGAAGAGGAAUAGAUGCUACCUCUCAGUGGGGGAGUAGCAUAUGUUCACAAAGGGGAGGGAUUGAUUGAUAGUGGACAUCUUUACUUUAGAGACAAGCUGCCACCAAUGGAUACAACAUAUGCAUUCCACGUGGAUAUAAAUGCACGAUGUUUACUCAUAAGACUUUUUUGAGCUGAUAGUUCUUCACCCAAGUGUGCCAUAAACACCAUUCAUGUGUCUCAAGCUUUUGAGUUCUUACCACUGGAAAAGAUGCCACAGUUAGGCACAAAUUUAGUAACUGCAUCAGAUCAUUAUAUUUUUCACUUGGCGAAGGCGUCUUCAUCACGUUGGAACUCUUUUUUAUCCACAAAUUUUAUCUUCCAUGUGAGCCUGUCACUCACUUUGUAACUCAUUGUUCUGACUUCAGAGUAAAAACCAAGGCUUCAGAUCAGUCAGAUGCUGCUUUAUGUUUUUCUUUUGUCCCGAUGAUCAUGGCUUCCAGUGAGUUCUAAUUACUCAGCUAAUUCUUCUAACUAGAAUAAACCACAUCCUUUAAUAGCUCCUUGUACUUCAAAGCACAUGCCUUAAUUUGUAACUAUAUUCAUGAGAUUGUUGAAUUGAUUUCCAUCUUCCCCACUAGACUCCAAACUCUAUGGAGUCAGAUACUAUUUAACUCCAGCAUUUAGGUCUGUACUUAGAACACACUGCU